AGUCAGCACGCUGUGAGGAAGCCAAGGCCAUGGGGGAAGGCCCACAGGACAGAUUCUGAGACCUGGUCCUCAACCCUUGAAUCGGGAGAGAGCCACGGCACAGCUGACAGUGAUCCCCACACAGACUGCAGCCAGUGGGAUGUACUGUGACAAGCAGCAAGAAGGUCACAUUUCCCAGGUCCUGAGCUGAGAACAAGUCAUGGCGUAUCACUAGCCAGGAAAUUUUAGCUCAGCAUAUGGCCACUCAGACUAAAGUCUGGCCAAUAAAAUAAUGUGGAGGAUGUCAUCUGGGAGCAUGAGAGAGACGCCACCCUAGGGAGGGCCAAAGUAGGAGCUUAGGUCCCUCAGGACACAGUGGAACAAAGCUGCCACACCAACUUUGGGGCUAUAUGGGGCGAUAUGAGGCCAUCCAUACCACCACGUUUCAUAGAGGAGAGAGAGGAGAGAUGCAGUGAACCCAAGUCUUCCACAUAACAACCCUCCAUGUCAGUUGGCAGGAAACUACAAGGACAUUCUCAAUUUACGGAAGCACAAAGGUGGUAGUGGUUUAGAAAGGCCAAAUCCAAACCCCAUUCUCGGGGUUUCCUCUUCCAACUGACUCUUAAGUACCUUCGUUUUCCAGUAUAAUUCUAAAGCCAAGGACACUGGGCAAGCUUUCCUUUAGCUACAAAGCAAUACUCAGUGAAACUUCCAACUCAGGUCUACUUAGAUCUUUAAAAAGGAAAAUUCGAAGAAAAGGGGGAAUAGCAGGAGGAAGAUGAGGAGGAAAUAGAAAAAAAGGAUAAAGAAGAAGUGGGAAAAGUAAGGCAAAGAAACAUGCUGGCCCUCACAUGAUGAGGGCUGACAUUGGAACAUAAAUCUAAGAAAAAUAUCUGUUUCACCUACCUGCCUGGUUGGGAAUUCAAACAUUAGUAAUUUAUUUCUUUGAGCUAAACCAAGAGUCCAUGCAUACCCAGUUAAAAUGCAAAUAGCCCUAGAAAGUAAAAUACCAAACUUCAGCUCUUAUUACAAUUUAAUUCAUCAAAUAUAAGCAAUUUGGUCAACUAAGCAGGCCCUAGGGAGGCAGACACUAGUCUGGUGAGUUGUGACAUGCAAGGUCAGAAAGAUUCAGGAAAUGGGAGCCAAGGCUUCUGAUCAUUAGUGUUAGAACCUGGGGGAUCUGGCGUAAAAGGCACAUGGAACAGCAGAGGUCACUGACAGGAGGACAGAGAUUGCAAACCCUGACCCAUCCAUGGCCCAUAGCCACCCUGCACACAACCUGCAUUAUGUCAUCAAUCCAUAAAAAUAUAGUAGUUCCUUUUCUCCACUCUUUUGCCCAAACUGCAUAUUGAACUUCUAUCACUUUACCAUAAACUUGCUCCUUCAGAUUAUCUGUAUUAACCUCUCGAAGAUGCGAAGAACGCAACAUGUCACUGUCACUUCAACACUCAUGUUUUAUUAAGAUCAGCUUCUCUUCCCUGGUCCUAGUGAGCUGUUGGCCUUCCAGUUUACUCGACCCAAUAGUAAUGAAAUAAACCAUUAAAUCUUGGGACUUUUAAAAUUUAACUUGACAGUCAGGCAGUGGAAAGUCAGUGCUUAACAACAGAUCUCAGAAAUUUAUGAAUACCAGGAA
Lutra lutra (Eurasian river otter) is the source of this 1612-nucleotide long non-coding RNA. RefSeq lists it as uncharacterized. The transcript is spliced from 5 exons. Lineage: Eukaryota; Metazoa; Chordata; Mammalia; Carnivora; Mustelidae. The record is from RefSeq and is a predicted model, not a curated record.